Molecule: non-coding RNA, 26 nt
Filed under: Homo sapiens (human)
Lineage: Eukaryota; Metazoa; Chordata; Mammalia; Primates; Hominidae
Source: RNAcentral
UGACGGGUGCAAAGGAAUAGUAAAGA